GCGCCAGUCGCUGACAGCCGCGGCGCUGCGAGCUGCUUCUCCUCUGCUCCCGGCCCAGGCAGGAUUCCUGAAGAUAUUUAAAAACAACAGUUUUCAGCCAAGCGAAAGCGUUCCGUCGUCCCAGAGGCACCAAUCCAGUUUAACUCAGCCACAACAGAUUAUCAGUCAUCAUGGAGAACCUUGGUUGCUGGAUGCUGAUUCUCUUUGUGGCCACAUGGAGUGACAUAGGCCUCUGCAAGAAGCGACCCAAGCCUGGAGGAUGGAACACUGGGGGGAGCCGAUACCCGGGCCAGGGCAGCCCUGGAGGCAACCGCUACCCACCCCAGGGUGGUGGUGGCUGGGGGCAGCCUCACGGUGGCGGCUGGGGGCAGCCCCAUGGUGGUGGCUGGGGACAACCCCAUGGUGGCGGCUGGGGACAGCCUCAUGGUGGUGGUGGCUGGGGUCAAGGAGGUGGCACCCACAGUCAAUGGGGAAAGCCCAGUAAGCCAAAAACCAACCUGAAGCAGAUGGCAGGCGCUGCCGCAGCUGGGGCAGUGGUGGGAGGCCUCGGCGGCUAUAUGCUGGGGAGUGCCAUGAGCAGGCCCCUCAUACAUUUUGGCAAUGACUAUGAGGACCGUUACUAUCGUGAAAAUAUGUACCGUUACCCCAACCAAGUGUACUACAGGCCGGUGGAUCAGUACAGCAACCAGAACAACUUCGUGCAUGACUGCGUCAACAUCACGGUCAAGCAGCACACGGUCACCACCACUACCAAAGGGGAGAACUUCACCGAGACCGAUAUUAAGAUAAUGGAGCGUGUGGUUGAGCAGAUGUGUAUCACCCAGUACCAGAAGGAACAGCAGGCUUAUUACCAAAGAGGCUCGAGCUUGGCUCUCCUCUCCUCCCCGCCUGUGAUCCUCCUCAUCUCCUUCCUCAUCUUCCUGAUAGUGGGAUGAGGCAGGUCUUCCUGUUUCACCAUCUUUUUCAUCUUUUUCCAGGUUGGGGGAGGGGGUGUCCACUUGCAGCCCUUUCAGCAGUGGCGUCUCAUUCUUGCUUCUCCUUGUCCCCCAUAGGCUAACACCCUUGGCACUGAUGGGCACUGGGAAAUGUAGAGUAGACCUGGGAUGCUGUUUAUUCAGGCCCCCUUUGAUUGAGUCCUUCACAGGCCCGUGCUAGUGCUGGCCCAGGAAAAAUAUAACAGCAAAUAAUCCCUGGUUAUUCUAGGCUUAUUUUUAGUCUACUAUAACAGGUUGAGGCUAAAACAUCUCAAAACAGCCCUCAGAUACCUUUGCCUGAAUACCUCUAGCUCCUUCAGCAGUCAGGACUCAGCAUACCAGUGCCCCAACUCAGCAGUGAUUUUAUAGCAAUUUAGAGAAAUUUUCUCAUCCGUUUUAAGACAACCUGACAGCACUUCUGCCAAGUUUGGAAGGAGGCCGCAUGGUACUCACUCAAAAAAAAAAGCAAACACGAGAAAUCCUUAGCUCUCGGGCCACAGGCUUCGCCCACUGGAGCAUGUGCUGUGUCCACAGAGACUGUGGCAGCACUUGGCCUUUUGCAGUGCGGGCUGCACAGAGGCUGUUGCAUCAAGAGUAAAUACUGUGCAACACAAGACCUCUGGCCAGAGGACAUUUUCACAGAGAAUGAACAUAACUGUAACAUAUGUGAAAAUCUUCUGGGACUGAAAAAUCCAACAUUUGGGAGUGGUGCCCUGAAAGACACCUCCCAUUUUGGAUGUUUAAAGCACCUACAUGUGGCAUUCCUUUUGUUAGUAACAUAAACUCUAGAUAAUUAAGGCAGCAAAAAUUAAAUUACCUUCUACACACUGAAAGUAAAUCUCCUUUGUUCAUUUACUUGGAAACCAAAAUGAUUUUAAUGUUGUUUAGGUGAAACCAGAAGACUUUAAAACAGAGGAAAGCUGCAGUUGUCCAAGCACAGUCGUCACAGAGGAUCAUGUAAUGAAGAAAAUGGUUAGUGUUUAAAGAAAAGAAAUGCUUCCAUUCCUUCAUUUCUGGCUCAUAAUUGUCAAAAACCAGAAUUAGGUCAAGUCCUUAGUUUUUGUAAUUGGCUUUUGAAUUAAAGAGUAGGAAGACAAUCUAAAAAAUAGGUUGGAGAUGACAGAAAUAUGAUCUACUUAUAGUAGAAAAGGAAAUUCUGUUAAUGUCAUUUAAGUAAGGUAAAAUUACUCCCUGAAUUGUUCAACAUUGUCACCUAGCAGAUACAUAUUACUGUUCUGCAAUGUCAUUGGCUUGCAUUGUGUGGGUAUUCUAUGUAAAAAAAUAUAUAUAUAAAAUGUAUAUUGCUUAUGACAAACUUAGAAGUUUCUUUUAGAGCAGUUUAAUAGCUGAAGUAUCUAAUGCAUUAAUUGUUUUGUAAGGUACUAAAUACCUAAUUUGUGGGAAACCCUUUUGCAUGGAACUUAGGCUUACAAUGUGCACUGAAUAGUUUUGUAUAAGAAUCCAAACUGGACACUGUUAACUGGUCUUUGAAAUAUGCAUGUACUUUAUAUUUUCUAUAUUUAUAACUUUGCAUGUACUUGUUUUGUUGUACACAAAAUUUAUAAAUGUUUACUAUCUGACUGAAAUUAAAGAAGCUGAGAUGAGCAUCA
This is an RNA transcript of Galeopterus variegatus (Sunda flying lemur), 2584 nucleotides long. It is a transcript of the gene named prion protein, with no coding region annotated. The record is from RefSeq and is a predicted model, not a curated record. Lineage: Eukaryota; Metazoa; Chordata; Mammalia; Dermoptera; Cynocephalidae. The transcript is spliced from 5 exons.